RNAcentral lists this ribosomal RNA (76 nucleotides) under Pelobates cultripes (western spadefoot toad). Its description in RNAcentral is "SSU_rRNA_eukarya". The record is from RNAcentral. Lineage: Eukaryota; Metazoa; Chordata; Amphibia; Anura; Pelobatidae.
ACAUAUCAACUUUUGAUGCCACUUUCUGCGCCUACCAUGGUGACCACGGUUAACGGGGAAUCAGGGUUCGAUUCCG